Molecule: ribosomal RNA, 530 nt
Filed under: Vibrio vulnificus
Lineage: Bacteria; Pseudomonadati; Pseudomonadota; Gammaproteobacteria; Vibrionales; Vibrionaceae
Description: partial 23S ribosomal RNA
Rfam family: Bacterial large subunit ribosomal RNA
Source: RNAcentral
CUAGUCGAGUCGGCCUGCGCGGAAGAUGUAACGGGGCUAAGUUGUAAACCGAAGCUGCGGCAAUGUUCUUUGAACAUUGGGUAGGGGAGCGUUCUGUAAGCCGUUGAAGGUGUGUUGUAAAGCAUGCUGGAGGUAUCAGAAGUGCGAAUGCUGACAUGAGUAACGACAAGGGGGGUGAAAAACCUCCCCGCCGGAAGACCAAGGGUUCCUGUCCAACGUUAAUCGGGGCAGGGUAAGUCGACCCCUAAGGCGAGGCUGAAAAGCGUAGUCGAUGGGAAACGGGUUAAUAUUCCCGUACUUCUUACAAUUGCGAUGGGGGGACGGAGAAGGCUAGGUGGGCCUGGCGACGGUUGUCCAGGUUCAAGUGCGUAGGCUGAGUGUUUAGGUAAAUCCGGAUACUCUCAAGGCUGAGACACGACGUCGAGCUACUACGGUAGUGAAGUCAUUGAUGCCAUGCUUCCAGGAAAAGCCUCUAAGCUUCAGAUUGUAAGGAAUCGUACCCCAAACCGACACAGGUGGUCGGGUAGAGA